CCUACGGGUGGCAGCAGUGAGGAAUAUUGGUCAAUGGGCGAGAGCCUGAACCAGCCAAGUCGCGUGGGGGAGUACUGCCCUAUGGGUUGUAAACCUCUUUUGUCGGGGAGCAAAAGCCGGACGUGUCCGGCUGUGAGAGUACCCGAAGAAAAAGCAUCGGCUAACUCCGUGCCAGCAGCCGCGGUAAUACGGAGGAUGCGAGCGUUAUCCGGAUUUAUUGGGUUUAAAGGGUGCGCAGGCGGAUUUUUAAGUCAGCGGUAAAAUCGUGGGGCUCAACCCCAUCCAGCCGUUGAAACUGGGGAUCUAGAGUGUGCGAGAGGUAUGCGGAAUGCGUGGUGUAGCGGUGAAAUGCAUAGAUAUCACGCAGAACCCCGAUUGCGAAGGCAGCAUACCGGUGCACAACUGACGCUCAGGCACGAAAGCGUGGGUAUCGAACAGGAUUAGAUACCCUAGUAGUC
This 458-nucleotide ribosomal RNA is filed under the name uncultured bacterium. RNAcentral describes it as "partial 16S ribosomal RNA". It matches the Rfam family "Bacterial small subunit ribosomal RNA", at positions 338 to 795 of the family's 1533-position model. The record is from RNAcentral.